UGGAUGGAGGGUUUGAUCCUGGCUCAGGGUGAACGCUGGCGGCGUGCCUGACACAUGCAAGUCGUACGGGCGGACCCCUUCGGGGGGCGAGCCAGUGGCGAACGGGUGAGUAACACGUGGGAACAUAUCCGCUGGUGGGGGAUAACUACCCGAAAGGGUAGCUAAUACCGCAUAAGCGAAAGGGGAAAGGUGCGACAGCAUCGCCAGUGGAGUGGCCCGCGGCCCAUCAGCUAGUUGGUGGGGUAAGAGCCCACCAAGGCGGCGACGGACGGUGACGCCGGCGUGAGAGCGCGACCGGCCACAAGGACACU
RNAcentral lists this ribosomal RNA (311 nucleotides) under Kosmotoga sp. DU53. RNAcentral's name for it is "bacterial SSU rRNA". It matches the Rfam family "Bacterial small subunit ribosomal RNA", at positions 1 to 320 of the family's 1533-position model. Lineage: Bacteria; Thermotogati; Thermotogota; Thermotogae; Kosmotogales; Kosmotogaceae. The record is from RNAcentral.